GGACUAGAUAAAUUUAUGUACUAGAAGUUG
RNAcentral lists this non-coding RNA (30 nucleotides) under Cricetulus griseus (Chinese hamster). The record is from RNAcentral. Lineage: Eukaryota; Metazoa; Chordata; Mammalia; Rodentia; Cricetidae.